Long non-coding RNA from Prosopis cineraria, 285 nucleotides. RefSeq lists it as uncharacterized. The transcript is spliced from 3 exons. NCBI's taxonomy places the organism in Eukaryota, Viridiplantae, Streptophyta, Magnoliopsida, Fabales, Fabaceae. The record is from RefSeq and is a predicted model, not a curated record.
UUGUUGGAAGAGGUAGCAGCAACUGGCCCUCCCUCUUGAAGUAAAUCCUAAUUGUUGGGUUAAAUUUGCUAGGUGGCGCUAUACUCUACAAUGAUAGGGCAAGAAGCUGCUGUUGCAAUGGGAUCAAGGUUGAUAUAAGUGACCUUUUUGUGGAGAGAUAUACGCAUAAAGAGGGGCGCCCUCCUACCAUAGAGGUUCAAAGCCCUCUUACCACAAAGAUUAAGAUCUUGAUCGAAGCAAAGCUUGGUGGCCUUGUUUAAUAUCAUUGGAUAUAUUCAAUUGAAA